AAUUAAUUUAACAGUGAAAAGAGAUAAACAAAAAGAGAUAAAUAUAGAAUAACUAGCCACGAUCAUUUAUCCCACAAACCUUCUCCUAAUUAUUCUCAACUGAACACCAUCAUCACACGGUAGUUUCAUCUUUCCCUUUUUCUUUAUUACCAUUGUUUCAUCUUUUUUUUUCCACCAUCGCUUCAUCUCUUUUUUUUACCAUAGUAGCCAAAACACUCUGCAAAGGUUUAUACUUUCUAUCUCUUUCUGCAGUGUUUAGGUUGAAGAUACCACCGGAGUAUACUCCUAUCUCCCAGCUCAGUUCAUCUCAAAAAAAGAAUGGAAAAUCCGAGUUUUGGUCUCACAGAUAUGGGACUACUAUUCCAAACAUAAACCUGAAGUUGUUCUCAGGAUGGAAGCUAUCCUUGUGGAUGAAAAGGUGUACAGACUUUGAUAUCUAAAAAAUAUUUGGUAGAUGAAGUUGUUGAGUGUUUACCUAAAUAGUGGUUUGUUUUCUAAAAAUAUGUUGUAUACUCAUGAAAUAUUGGUAUGAUUGAGUAAUUUUCACACUUACAGGGAGAAAGGAUUCAAGCUUCUGUGAAACAGAAGUUAAUUAAAAAUUCCAAAAGGACCUAAAAAAACGAGAGUAUCUAGAUGAAGUUGUUGAGUGUAUAACUGUGUUUGUUUGAAACACAGUUGCAGAAAAUAUGAAAACCUUCAUACCUUCCUCCUUACGUAUUACAAAGAAGAAGAAAAAGAUCAUCGUGGCCACACCAAAAACAAUAUUCUACACUUGUGUUUAAGUUUCCAAGGCUUUGGCUUUUAUGGGUUUCCCGGGGACACCAAAAGUUAUCUAAGUGGUAAACCAGGAGCUACACUUAGCACAAAUAAGCUUAUUUAUCAAAUCAUUCCUUUGGAUGAUAUCAAAAACGUGAAGAACGCCAUGAAUAUGGCAUGUUUGCUUAAUUACUUUCCUUUUUGUUCUUUUGAAUACUGAAUUCCCUUUAUGUUUUUCUCCUUUUUAUUAGACAGUGAAUGAUAUGCUUUUUUGGAAUGGUACAAGCUGGUCUUUCACGAUAUUUGAAACAAAGAUACAGUAAAUGAUGGAGAUGUUGAAUGAAGCACUAGACUGAAUUACUGGAAAUCAGAAGAAAAAUACUUAAAUUACUUAGAAACAUAUUAGGAAUUGAAGAGUACAAAAAAUGGAAGAGCAGGACAAAAUGAAGAAAAAUAUUAAAUAAAUCCCAACUUUUGCAUUAUUAUAGUGUCCAGUUGCGGGAAUAUGAAUAAUUUAUUGACCCACCCGCAAUAAGACAGACGCACAACUUUAUUCAAAUUUGAAACAGUAGUAUUAUAAAGUUAAGCAAAAAAAUCCCCUAUAUAUUAAAAGAGAAACAUUUGAAAAAUUGUAACCUCAAUUUUGUAAUGAUUAAAGGCUGACUGGUUUUCCCGCUACCACCCGCAAACGCAGCUUUUGCGGUUCAUAGCGGUUGUUGGCGUUUCGAAACAAUCACAGAAAACGCUACA
Long non-coding RNA from Raphanus sativus (radish), 1506 nucleotides. RefSeq lists it as uncharacterized. NCBI's taxonomy places the organism in Eukaryota, Viridiplantae, Streptophyta, Magnoliopsida, Brassicales, Brassicaceae. The record is from RefSeq and is a predicted model, not a curated record. The transcript has 3 exons.